This 231-nucleotide long non-coding RNA is filed under the name Elaeis guineensis (African oil palm). RNAcentral describes it as "long non-coding RNA (EGUI_LNC052836)". The record is from RNAcentral. Lineage: Eukaryota; Viridiplantae; Streptophyta; Magnoliopsida; Arecales; Arecaceae.
UUUCCAAGGCCCAAGGGUUGGGCAUCCCAUCUUCCCACAUAUCUAAGUUGAGGAUGAUUUCUUCUACAGCAAAGAAUAGGGACAAAGGCUAUAGUUCAAGUGUUGAGUUUGCGGUCAAAGAUCAAAGGUUGAUCAAAGGUUCAAAAGGUCAGAUUCAUCUUGGAGAAGAUGGAUCUACAAUGAGAAGAAAGGUUUAAGGUUGAUCUCGGUGGAUACCUGUAGAGAUCGGAU